GUUACCUUCUACUUGAUUAGGUUUUAUUGACCAAUGAGUCCAAUAAUAUCGGGCAAAAGAAAACUUGCCUAAUAAUAAUAUCAAUAACACUUUCAUACUUUAACCCAACAAAAUAUAUAUAACUGAAAUAGAAACCGUCACAAAACUAACUUCGAGGGCAAAGCGAACAGAUUCACAAAAUUCAAAUUUAUGACGAACUCCCCAUUUGGUCACUCCCCCCAUUUGCCAUCCCAUGGGCCAAAAUCCAGAUCAUGAACCUGGCGAGGCCCAUUUGGUUCAAUCGAUAUAUUACACUAGGGUUUGCCUAUAAAUAGAACCCAACCCCUGUGCCCUCCUUUCCCACUCUCUGCGGUCGCCUGAAACUUUGCAUCGGAAGGAGGUUGGGGAUAACCUGAAAGCGGCUGUUACGGUGAAUCGCCACCAUGAGGGCUAAGUGGAAGAAGAAGCGCAUGAGGAGGUUGAAGAGGAAGCGCCGAAAAAUGAGGCAGCGGUCCAAGUAACAAUGUAAGGCCUUGGCAGCGGCAAUUUCUUCUUGUCUCGGUUUUAAUAUUGCGUUAUUAAGACUUCUCUAGGCUAUCGUCGUUUAGUGUUUUUGAUACAGUUGAUAUUUGGAUUUGUGGACCGAUUUGGCUUGAAUGAAUUUCGAAUUAUCGCUAA
This is a long non-coding RNA of Diospyros lotus (date-plum), 657 nucleotides long. RefSeq lists it as uncharacterized. The record is from RefSeq and is a predicted model, not a curated record. The transcript has 2 exons. NCBI's taxonomy places the organism in Eukaryota, Viridiplantae, Streptophyta, Magnoliopsida, Ericales, Ebenaceae.